Molecule: ribosomal RNA, 656 nt
Filed under: uncultured Paraconiothyrium
Lineage: Eukaryota; Fungi; Ascomycota; Dothideomycetes; Pleosporales; Didymosphaeriaceae
Description: eukaryotic LSU rRNA
Rfam family: 5.8S ribosomal RNA (bases 300-453)
Source: RNAcentral
UCUUGGUCAUUUAGAGGAAGUAAAAGUCGUAACAAGGUUUCCGUAGGUGAACCUGCGGAAGGAUCAUUAAUGCUUUAGCGGGUGUGUUGCGGCCCUCGAGGUCCCGUGCAUUCGCUGCACGGGAACAAGCUCCGGGAGGUGUAGGGUUCCCACGUGGGGGCCCUUUCACGCGCACAUGACUGAAUCCUUACUUUACUCGUACCUCUCGUUCUCCUUCGGCGGGGCAGCCUGCCGUUGGAACAGCCAAAACUCUUUUUUUUGCAUCCAGCAUUACCUGUUCUGAUACAAACAAUCGUUACAACUUUCAACAAUGGAUCUCUUGGCUCUGGCAUCGAUGAAGAACGCAGCGAAAUGCGAUAAGUAGUGUGAAUUGCAGAAUUCAGUGAAUCAUCGAAUCUUUGAACGCACAUUGCGCCCCUUGGUAUUCCAUGGGGCAUGCCUGCUCGAGCGUCAUCUACACCCUCAAGCUCUGCUUGGUGUUGGGCGUCUUUGUCCCGCCUCCGCGCGCGGACUCGCCCCAAAUUCAUUGGCAGCGGUCCUUGCCUCCUCUCGCGCAGCACAUUGCGCUUCUCGAGGUGUUGCGGCCCGCGUCCAGAAAGCAAUCGUUACCGUCUUUGACCUCGGAUCAGGUAGGGAUACCCGCUGAACUUAAGCAU